AGAGUUUGAUCCUGGCUCAGAUUGAGCGCUGGCGGCAGGCUUAACACAUGCAAGUCGAGCGGAGUGCUGGUGCUUGCACUAUCACUUAGCGGCGGACGGGUGAGUAAUGCUUAGGAAUCUGCCUAUUAGUGGGGGACAACAUUUCGAAAGGAAUGCUAAUACCGCAUACGUCCUACGGGAGAAAGCACGGGAUCUUCGGACCUUGCGCUAAUAGAUGAGCCUAAGUCGGAUUAGCUAGUUGGUGGGGUAAAGGCCUACCAAGGCGACGAUCUGUAGCGGGUCUGAGAGGAUGAUCCGCCACUCUGGGACUGAGACACGGCCCAGACUCCUACGGGAGGCAGCAGUGGGGAAUAUUGGACAAUGGGCGCAAGCCUGAUCCAGCCAUGCCGCGUGUGUGAAGAAGGCCUUAUGGUUGUAAAGCACAUUAAGCGAGGAGGAGGCUACUGAAGUUAAUACCUUCAGAUAGUGGACGUUACUCGCARAAUAAGCACCGGCUAACUCUGUGCCAGCAGCCGCGGUAAUACAGAGGGUGCAAGCGUUAAUCGGAUUUACUGGGCGUAAAGCGCGCGUAGGCGGCUAAUUAAGUCAAAUGUGAAAUCCCCGAGCUUAACUUGGGAAUUGCAUUCGAUACUGGUUAGCUAGAGUGUGGGAGAGGAUGGUAGAAUUCCAGGUGUAGCGGUGAAAUGCGUAGA
Molecule: ribosomal RNA, 692 nt
Filed under: Acinetobacter sp. EK-I8
Lineage: Bacteria; Pseudomonadati; Pseudomonadota; Gammaproteobacteria; Moraxellales; Moraxellaceae
Description: bacterial SSU rRNA
Rfam family: Bacterial small subunit ribosomal RNA
Source: RNAcentral